AGGCCGUAACACAUAGCAAGUCGAGGGGCGAGCACAAGGAGCAAUCUGAGGUGGCGACCGGCGCACGGGUGAGUAACACGUAUGCAACCUGCCUGUAAGCGGGGAAUAACCCGUUGAAAGACGGACUAAUACCGCAUAAUACUAAAUUACUGCAUGGUAAUUUAUUUAAACAUUUAUGGCUUACAGAUGGGCAUGCGCAUGAUUAGCUAGUUGGAGAGGUAACGGCUCCCCAAGGCAACGAUCAUUAGGGGUUCUGAGAGGAAGGUCCCCCCACACUGGUACUGAGACACGGACCAGACUCCUACGGGAGGCAGCAGUGAGGAAUAUUGGUCAAUGGACGAGAGUCUGAACCAGCCAAGUCGCGUGCAGGAAGAAUUGUCCUAUGGAUUGUAAACUGCUUUUGCAGGGGAAUAAAGUGCAUCACGUGUGAUGUUUUGUAUGUACUCUGCGAAUAAGGAUCGGCUAACUCCGUGCCAGCCGCCGC
Molecule: ribosomal RNA, 484 nt
Filed under: uncultured bacterium
Lineage: Bacteria
Description: bacterial SSU rRNA
Rfam family: Bacterial small subunit ribosomal RNA
Source: RNAcentral